UGGGGAAUAUUGCACAAUGGGCGCAAGCCUGAUGCAGCCAUGCCGCGUGUGUGAAGAAGGCCUUCGGGUUGUAAAGCACUUUCAGCGAGGAGGAAGGUGGUGAGCUUAAUACGCUCAUCAAUUGACGUUACUCGCAGAAGAAGCACCGGCUAACUCCGUGCCAGCAGCCGCGGUAAUACGGAGGGUGCAAGCGUUAAUCGGAAUUACUGGGCGUAAAGCGCACGCAGGCGGUUUGUUAAGUCAGAUGUGAAAUCCCCGGGCUCAACCUGGGAACUGCAUUUGAAACUGGCAAGCUAGAGUCUCGUAGAGGGGGGUAGAAUUCCAGGUGUAGCGGUGAAAUGCGUAGAGAUCUGGAGGAAUACCGGUGGCGAAGGCGGCCCCCUGGACGAAGACUGACGCUCAGGUGCGAAAGCGUGGGGCAGCAAACAGAAUUAGAUACCCUGGUAGUCCACGCUGUAAAACGAUGUCGAUUUUGGAGGUUGUGCCUUGAGGCGUGGCUUCCGGAGCUAACGCGUUAAAUCGACCGCC
Molecule: ribosomal RNA, 528 nt
Filed under: uncultured bacterium
Lineage: Bacteria
Description: partial 16S ribosomal RNA
Rfam family: Bacterial small subunit ribosomal RNA
Source: RNAcentral